UCGCGGUAUGGGAUGGGGUCGCGUCCUAUCAGCUUGACGGCGGGGUAACGGCCCACCGUGGCUUCGACGGGUAGCCGGCCUGAGAGGGCGACCGGCCACAUAGGGACUGAGAUACGGCCCAGACUCGUACGGGAGGCAGCAGUGGGGAAUAUUGCACCAUGAGCGCAAGCCUCAUGCAGCGACGCCGCGUCAGGGAUGGAGGCCUUCGGGUUGUAAACCUCUUUUAUCGGGGAGCAAGCGAGAGUGAGUUUACCCGUUGAAUAAGCACCGGCUAACUACGUGCCAGCAGCCGCGGUAAUACGUAGGGUGCAAGCGUUAUCCGGAAUUAUUGGGCGUAAAGGGCUCGUAGGCGGUUCGUCGCGUCCGGUGUGAAAGUCCAUCGCUUAACGGUGGAUCCGCGCCGGGUACGGGCGGG
RNAcentral lists this ribosomal RNA (415 nucleotides) under uncultured Bifidobacterium sp. RNAcentral describes it as "bacterial SSU rRNA". It matches the Rfam family "Bacterial small subunit ribosomal RNA", at positions 213 to 640 of the family's 1533-position model. The record is from RNAcentral. Lineage: Bacteria; Bacillati; Actinomycetota; Actinomycetes; Bifidobacteriales; Bifidobacteriaceae.